This 235-nucleotide ribosomal RNA is filed under the name uncultured bacterium. Its description in RNAcentral is "partial 16S ribosomal RNA". It matches the Rfam family "Bacterial small subunit ribosomal RNA", at positions 99 to 334 of the family's 1533-position model. The record is from RNAcentral.
CGAACGGGUGAGUAACACGUGGGUGACCUGCCCUCCACUCUGGGAUAAGCCUUGGAAACGGGGUCUAAUACCGGAUAUGACCACAUGUCGCAUGGUGUGUGGUGGAAAGCGUUUAGUGGUGGGGGAUGGGCCCGCGGCCUAUCAGCUUGUUGGUGGGGUGAUGGCCUACCAAGGCGACGACGGGUAGCCGGCCUGAGAGGGUGAUCGGCCACACUGGGACUGAGACACGGCCCAG